This is a long non-coding RNA of Monopterus albus (swamp eel), 241 nucleotides long. RefSeq lists it as uncharacterized. Lineage: Eukaryota; Metazoa; Chordata; Actinopteri; Synbranchiformes; Synbranchidae. The transcript is spliced from 3 exons. The record is from RefSeq and is a predicted model, not a curated record.
AGACAAGGAAAAAUUAUGACCUAAAGAACAGAUAAAGGCUUGGAUUUUUGUAAAGAGGUCUGACUGGUCAAGGCAUAGACUCCACAGACCUCUGAAGGUGUCCUCUGGUAUUUGGCACCAAGACGUCAGCUGCAGAGCCUUUAAGUCCUGGCAGGGACCAGGCAAUUGGAGGGAAAACGGAUGGUAUAAAACACUUUUAUAUUUUGCUGUCCACAACAAUUCUAGCAUUUUUCUUUCUUUC